UUUUGACCUGAACUCAGUCGUGAGCACCCGCUGAA
This 35-nucleotide ribosomal RNA is filed under the name Meloidogyne artiellia. Its description in RNAcentral is "partial 28S ribosomal RNA". The record is from RNAcentral. Lineage: Eukaryota; Metazoa; Nematoda; Chromadorea; Rhabditida; Meloidogynidae.